AGAGUUUGAUCCUGGCUCAGGAUGAACGCUAGCGGCAGGCUUAACACAUGCAAGUCGAGGGGCAGCAUACUCUUCGGACUGAUGGCGACCGGCAAACGGGUGCGGAACACGAACACAACCUACCCUAAACUGGGGCAUAGCCCGGUGAAAACCGGAUUAACUCCCCAUAGUAUUGAUUAAGGGCCUCACUAGUCAAUUAAAAAUUUAUUGGUUUAGGAUGGGGGUGCGUCCUAUUAUCUAGUUGGCGGGGAAAAGGCCCACCAAGGAGACGAUAGGUAGCUGAUGUGAGAGCAUGAUCAGCCCCACAGUCCCUGAGACACGGGCCCGACUCCUACGGGAGGCAGCAGUGAGGAAUAUUGGUCAAUGGGCGAGAGCCUGAACCAGCCAUGCCGCGUGAAGGAUGAAGGCGUUCUGCGUUGUAAACUUCUUUUAUUAGGGAAGAAACCUGAGAUUUUUAUUUCAGCCGACGGUACCUAAUGAAUAAGCACCGGCUAACUCCGUGACAGCAGGCGCGGUAAUACGGAGGGUGCAAGCGUUAUCCGGAUUUACUGGGUUUAAAGGGUGUGUAGGCGGACUAUUAAGUCAGGGGUGAAAUCCCGGGGCUCAACCCCGGAACUGCCUUUGAUACUAUUAGUCUUGAAU
This 642-nucleotide ribosomal RNA is filed under the name bacterium enrichment culture. RNAcentral describes it as "bacterial SSU rRNA". It matches the Rfam family "Bacterial small subunit ribosomal RNA", at positions 8 to 647 of the family's 1533-position model. The record is from RNAcentral.